GACGAACGCUGGCGGCGUGCUUAACACUUGCAAGUCGAACGGAAAGGCCCUGCUUUUGUGGGGUGCUCGAGUGGCGAACGGGUGAGUAACACGUGAGUAACCUGCCCUUGACUUUGGGAUAACUUCAGGAAACUGGGGCUAAUACCGGAUAGGAGCUCCUGCUGAAUGGUGGGGGUUGGAAAGUUUCGGCGGUUGGGGAUGGACUCGCGGCUUAUCAGCUUGUUGGUGGGGUAGUGGCUUACCAAGGCUUUGACGGGUAGCCGGCCUGAGAGGGUGACCGGCCACAUUGGGACUGAGAUACGGCCCAGACUCCUACUGGAGGCAGCAGUGGGGAAUAUUGCACAAUGGGCGGAAGCCUGAUGCAGCAACGCCGCGUGCGGGAUGACGGCCUUCGGGUUGUAAACCGCUUUCGCCUGUGACGAAGCGUGAGUGACGGUAAUGGGUAAAGAAGCACCGGCUAACUACGUG
This 468-nucleotide ribosomal RNA is filed under the name uncultured bacterium. RNAcentral's name for it is "partial 16S ribosomal RNA". It matches the Rfam family "Bacterial small subunit ribosomal RNA", at positions 28 to 507 of the family's 1533-position model. The record is from RNAcentral.